AUUGAACGCUGGCGGCAUGCCUUACACAUGCAAGUCGAGCGCGAAAGGGGGCAACCCCGAGUAGAGCGGCGGACGGGUGAGUAACGCAUCGGAACGUGCCCAGUAGUGGGGGACAACCUCGAGAAAUCGAGGCUAAUACCGCAUACGAUCCACGGGUGAAAGCGGGGGACCGCAAGGCCUCGCGCUAUUGGAGCGGCCGAUGUCCGAUUAGCUAGUUGGCGGGGUAAGAGCCCACCAAGGCGACGAUCGGUAGCUGGUCUGAGAGGACGACCAGCCACACUGGGACUGAGACACGGCCCAGACUCCUACGGGAGGCAGCAGUGGGGAAUUUUGGACAAUGGGGGCAACCCUGAAUCCAGCCAUGCCGCGUGCGGGAAGAAGGCCUUCGGUGUAACG
This 396-nucleotide ribosomal RNA is filed under the name uncultured bacterium. RNAcentral describes it as "bacterial SSU rRNA". It matches the Rfam family "Bacterial small subunit ribosomal RNA", at positions 29 to 430 of the family's 1533-position model. The record is from RNAcentral.